AUGAGGCCACAGGUGCUGCUCGCCGCGCUGGCCGUCAUCGCCGUCCUCGCAGCAGCUCUGCCUCUCGCCCAUAGCCAAGGCGCGACGCUGUGCUGCGACAACUGCGGCUCCUGCACCAGGUCCAUCCCACCUCAGUGCACAUGCAUGGACACCUCACCAACCGGGUGCAACCCGGCCUGCAAGACCUGCUCGAGGUCCACCGUCGGCGGCCGCAACAGCUUCCAGUGCAAGGACCGCGUCGCCAACUUCUGCAAGACCCGCUGCACUAACGCCGCGUGA
This 279-nucleotide ribosomal RNA is filed under the name Triticum aestivum (bread wheat). RNAcentral describes it as "partial small subunit ribosomal RNA". Lineage: Eukaryota; Viridiplantae; Streptophyta; Magnoliopsida; Poales; Poaceae. The record is from RNAcentral.